UCGAAUUAGUCGGGGUGCUUUAUGGCUGAGAACAUACCCGAGAACCUGAUCCAGUUAAUGCUGACGUAGGAAACUAAUACGAAAUUUCU
Molecule: non-coding RNA, 89 nt
Organism: Gallibacterium anatis
Lineage: Bacteria; Pseudomonadati; Pseudomonadota; Gammaproteobacteria; Pasteurellales; Pasteurellaceae
Source: Rfam